UACGUAGGGUGCAAGCGUUAAUCGGAAUUACUGGGCGUAAAGCGUGCGCAGGCGGUCUUGCAAGACAGAUGUGAAAUCCCCGGGCUUAACCUGGGAACUGCAUUGGUGACUGCAUCGCUCGAGUAUGGCAGAGGGGGGUAGAAUUCCACGUGUAGCAGUGAAAUGCGUAGAGAUGUGGAGGAAUACCGAUGGCGAAGGCAGCCCCCUGGGUCAAUACUGACGCUCAUGCACGAAAGCGUGGGGAGCAAACAGG
Molecule: ribosomal RNA, 253 nt
Filed under: uncultured bacterium
Lineage: Bacteria
Description: partial 16S ribosomal RNA
Rfam family: Bacterial small subunit ribosomal RNA
Source: RNAcentral